GAUGAACGCUGACAGAAUGCUUAACACAUGCAAGUCGAUGGGGAAGUGGUGCUUGCACCAUGGCAACCAUGGCGGACGGGUGAGUAACGCGUAAGGGACUUACCUGCAGGACUGGGAUAACAGGGGGAAACUCCUGACAAGACCGGAUAAUGUCAUGGAGCUGCAUGGCUUUAUGAUGAAAGGAGACGCCUGCGGAGAGCCUUGCGUCCUAUUAGCUAGUUGGUGAGGUAAUGGCUCACCAAGGCGAAGAUAAGUAGCCGGCCUGAGAGGGUGGACGGCCACAAGGGGACUGAGAUACGGCCCUUACUCCUACGGGAGGCAGCAGUGGGGAAUAUUGGACAAUGGGGGCAACCCUGAUCCAGCAAUUCUGUGUGCACGAAGAAGGUUUUCGGAUUGUAAAGUGCUUUCAGCAGGGAAGAAGUAAGUGACGGUACCUGCAGAAGAAGCGACGGCUAAAUACGUG
This 463-nucleotide ribosomal RNA is filed under the name uncultured bacterium. RNAcentral's name for it is "partial 16S ribosomal RNA". It matches the Rfam family "Bacterial small subunit ribosomal RNA", at positions 28 to 507 of the family's 1533-position model. The record is from RNAcentral.